GAUGAACGCUAGCUACAGGCUUAACACAUGCAAGUCGAGGGGAAACGACAUCGAAAGCUUGCUUUUGAUGGGCGUCGACCGGCGCACGGGUGAGUAACGCGUAUCCAACCUGCCCACCACUUGGGGAUAACCCUUGCGAAAGUAAGACUAAUACCCAAUGAUAUCCCACGAAGGCAUCCGAAUGGGAUUAAAGAUUUAUCGGUGAUGGAUGGGGAUGCGUCUGAUUAGCUUGUUGGCGGGGUAACGGCCCACCAAGGCUACGAUCAGUAGGGGUUCUGAGAGGAAGGUCCCCCACAUUGGAACUGAGACACGGUCCAAACUCCUACGGGAGGCAGCAGUGAGGAAUAUUGGUCAAUGGGCGAGAGCCUGAACCAGCCAAGUAGCGUGCAGGACGACGGCCCUAUGGGUUGUAAACUGCUUUUAUAAGGGAAUAAAGUGAGCUACGUGUAGCUUUUUGCAUGUACCUUAUGAAUAAGGACCGGCUAAUUCCGUG
This 493-nucleotide ribosomal RNA is filed under the name uncultured bacterium. Its description in RNAcentral is "bacterial SSU rRNA". It matches the Rfam family "Bacterial small subunit ribosomal RNA", at positions 28 to 507 of the family's 1533-position model. The record is from RNAcentral.